RNAcentral lists this ribosomal RNA (497 nucleotides) under uncultured bacterium. RNAcentral describes it as "bacterial SSU rRNA". It matches the Rfam family "Bacterial small subunit ribosomal RNA", at positions 29 to 507 of the family's 1533-position model. The record is from RNAcentral.
AUGAACGCUGGCGGCGUGCCUAAUACAUGCAAGUCGAGCGAACUGAUUAGAAGCUUGCUUCUAUGACGUUAGCGGCGGACGGGUGAGUAACACGUGGGCAACCUGCCUGUAAGACUGGGAUAACUCCGGGAAACCGGAGCUAAUACCGGAUAACAUUUUUUCUUGCAUAAGAGAAAAUUGAAAGAUGGUUUCAGCUAUCACUUACAGAUGGGCCCGCGGUGCAUUAGCUAGUUGGUGAGGUAACGGCUCACCAAGGCAACGAUGCAUAGCCGACCUGAGAGGGUGAUCGGCCACACUGGGACUGAGACACGGCCCAGACUCCUACGGGAGGCAGCAGUAGGGAAUCUUCCGCAAUGGACGAAAGUCUGACGGAGCAACGCCGCGUGAGUGAUGAAGGCUUUCGGGUCGUAAAACUCUGUUGUUAGGGAAGAACAAGUACAAGAGUAACUGCUUGUACCUUGACGGUACCUAACCAGAAAGCCACGGCUAACUACGUG